Molecule: unclassified non-coding RNA, 328 nt
Filed under: plant metagenome
Description: partial contains 5.8S ribosomal RNA, internal transcribed spacer 2, and large subunit ribosomal RNA
Rfam family: 5.8S ribosomal RNA (bases 1-105)
Source: RNAcentral
GAAAUGCGAUAAGUAAUGUGAAUUGCAGAAUUCAGUGAAUCAUCGAAUCUUUGAACGCACAUUGCGCCCGUCAGCAUUCUGGCGGGCAUACCUGUUCGAGCGUCAUUUCAACCCUCAGGACCCCCCUUUCGCGGGGAGGGACCUGGCGUUGGGGAUCGGCCCGCCCCCGCGGCGGCGCCGUCCCCGAAAUCUAGUGGCGGUCUCGCUGCAGCCUCCCCUGCGUAGUAGUUACAACCUCGCAUCGGAGCGCGGCGCGGCCACGCCGUAAAACCCCCGACUUUCUGAACGUUGACCUCGGAUCAGGUAGGAAUACCCGCUGAACUUAAGC